CUGGGAAGCGGCCUCAGCUCGCUUGGGGAGGAGGUGGCUGUGGGCAGGUGGUCGCCGGCCUCGAGCGGUCGGGCCUGGCUUCUCCGCUACGGGCUGUUGUUCCCUACAUGGCUGGGCGAGUGGACGAGACCGGGACGCCACCCCACACGCAGCGGUGUUCCUUCCCCAGUGUCCGCGUAGAAUUACCGUCUUGGGGCUCUGGGAGGCGACCUGGUGGGACGAGGGCCCACGGGGUUCUGUUAACACUGUUCCGUGGGCCAGGGCAGGAGAAGAAAGGUCCAAGAACAGGAGUCCCUGGACAGACGUGUUAAACCUCUGGAAACAUGACAGAUUUUGGCUUAUCAGUGGAAACACAAGUGUAAAAACAGAUGUGUCACCCUUUGUUGUCAUGUUCCUGAGGAACUCUGAGAAGAAACUUAUCACAGCUGAGAGAUAUAUACCAAGAACUUAUCAUCAUACUCCACCUGCAACACCUACAGAUUUGGGUGAAUUCCUCUCUUCCCAAGGUCCCCAAAAUAUCCUGGGGUUCCUGCACCUGCCAGGGAAGUGACCUUCCUUAUUAACCAGAAUCCUGUAACCAGCACCAUGUGAAUGAGCCAGGGCUGGCCUGCUGGAGGACGGACAUCACACGCCCAGCUAAUACCACUGACCAUCCUGACAGCCAGCCAUCUACCAAACACGUGAGGCCAAAAAUUGCCAGCUAACCACAAAGUCAAUGAACCCAAGUGAUACCACACGGAGCAGAGAUGAACCAUCUCGGCUGCUCCCAGCCUGAAUGUCAUAAUUUAGGGCAAGUCACAUAAUUAUGAGAAAAUCAAUGGAUGUUGUUUAUGCCACUAAGUUUUCGGGUGAUUCCCUUUUUUUUUUCAAGUGUUUUUUUUUUUUUUUUCCUGAGGAAGAUUCGCUCUGAGCUAACACCUGUGGCCAAUCUUCCUCUUUUUGGUUGAGGAAUAUUCACCCUGAGCUAACAUCUUGCCAGUCUUCCUCUAUUUCAUAUGUGGGUCACCGGCACAGAAUGGCUGCUGACAAGUGGUGUAGUUCUGAGUCCAGGAACUGAACCUGGGCCGCCAAAGCAGAGGGUGCCAAACUUAACCAGUAGGCCACGGGGCUGGCCUCUAGGGUGACUUCUUACACUGCACAAACUGGCGGCUGCAUGGGUCUAGCACUGAGCCUGUUGUCUUCUGUGCUAGACGAGCUCUCUGCUCCUAGACUCCAGUCGCCAGGUGGCGGAGAGGAGAGCCGAGCCACUUGCUGAGAGGAGGCAGGGACUGUGGCUUUGUCUCCUGGGGUUGUGAGACUAUAAAUGGGAUGUAAGUGCUGUCACAGUUAACUUGCUAAAACUGAUCUUGACAGUUACACUUAAAACUCUUCAACACUCAUCAAACUGGCAAAGAUGAAAACAAUCCGCCUUCAGCACUGGCGAGGGGGGAGCAGAGGCUCCCUGACACUCUUCACUCUGAUGCUGGCAGAGCCUUUCUGAAGGGCAAUUUACAACACGUGCCAAGACCUUAAAUACCUUUUUUUUUUUUUGAAAGAGAUUAGCCCUGAGCUAACAUCUGCUGCCAAUCCUCCUCUUUUUGCUGAGGAAGGCUGGCCCUGAGCUAACAUCCAUGCCCAUCUUCCUCUACUUUAUACUUGGGACGCCUACCACAGCAUGGCUUUUGCCAAGCGGUGCCAUGUCCACACCCGGGAUCUGAACUGGCGAACCCCGGGCCACCGAAACAGAACAUGCGAACUUAACUGCUACGCCACCGGGCCGGCCCAUUGAAUACCUUUUGAGCAAUUUCACUUUUAGGAAUCCCCCAAAGGAAAUAACAAACCACAUGCAAGAACUUAUGAACAAAAAAUAUUGAGCACUGCGUUCUUUAUGAAUACCAGACAAAAAUGUUUAGCAUGUCUAUAGCCAUUUCCCGAAUGCCAGGCCUUGUUCUAGUGUUAACACAUAUGGACACAUUGAAGCCUCAUAACAGCCCUCUCAGGCGUCAUUUCCAUCUCAGGGGUGAGCAAAUGAGUGCACAGUGAGUCAAUCUCUCCUCUCAAAUCUGGCAGGACAGCCACACCCUCCCGAGACUCCUGCACAUCCUGGACCGUCUACUCCCUGGCCAUCUCUCCUCCAGUGGUCUCGUCUUGCUAACUGCCUGCUAUCCCUACCAUCUCUGUCUGUCUUCCUUCUCCCACAGCCUGCCCACAUGCAGGUCUGGGGUGGUAGAAAGGAUUUCCAUUACAGACAUUCCACAAACAAAAGAACCGGGUGUCAGACAUCCCAGCCGUGGGAAGUCCACUGAGAUGGGCUUCUCCUCUUCCUCACUGGGAGGCUUUCUCUCACCCUACCCACCCUGCUCUCCCCCACCUAGCUUCCAGCUCUUUUCCUAUGCAGAGGGUUUCUCUCUAUGUAGCCUGAGCAGCUUCCUCCUUCCUGAACUGCAAGCUGUGCCUCCCGACCACCCCACCCAGGUAAGCCCUGGGCCUUGCCACACCCCACUUCUCUCCAGCCCUACCACCUAAGGCUACGCAAGUGCACCAGCCUCUCUGAAGGGGGUGGAGGAGUAACUAAAAGGAAUGCAACGUAGCCACACCAAACACACUUAUCAGAGGGACAUGCACAAAAUGUCAAAUCCCACCUGGGUAUUAUCUGCCCCCCUGUCUCUAUGCCCUGCAAAGGUAUCUGCCUCCCUGCUCCACCGACCCAGCCUGCACCCACUCUUGGGGGAAUUUCCCCCUCCUGCCAUCUCCUUCCCUCUAGAAGGUCUACACAGGAGUCAGGUGACCUGACUCACCAGGCCCUCAGGUGGGCACAGGUGGUUGGCAGGCUGGGACCAUUACCUAACCAUGGAUGCCCCCCUCACCUUUUAUCCUGGAGGAGGGCAAACAGGAAGUGACUGGGGAACAGAACUACCCUCGAGGACCCUGUGGGUCCCCCCUUCACCCCAGCAUCACACACACACCCUGACCCUCACUUGCAGAGCGUGACCCUCAGACUCUCUGAGCCAGAUCCUGUUGGAAGAAAAGUUUAUGAGUCUACUGUUUC
Equus asinus (donkey) is the source of this 3028-nucleotide long non-coding RNA. NCBI's taxonomy places the organism in Eukaryota, Metazoa, Chordata, Mammalia, Perissodactyla, Equidae. The record is from Ensembl.